This 502-nucleotide RNase P RNA is filed under the name uncultured Flavonifractor sp. RNAcentral describes it as "Bacterial RNase P class A". It matches the Rfam family "Bacterial RNase P class A". From Rfam's summary of the family: Ribonuclease P (RNase P) is a ubiquitous endoribonuclease, found in archaea, bacteria and eukarya as well as chloroplasts and mitochondria. Its best characterised activity is the generation of mature 5'-ends of tRNAs by cleaving the 5'-leader elements of precursor-tRNAs. The record is from RNAcentral. Lineage: Bacteria; Bacillati; Bacillota; Clostridia; Eubacteriales; Oscillospiraceae.
GCAAGCUGGACAGCCGCGCGGGCGGGACGAAAGGCCCGUCUGUGAGGAAAGUCCGGGCUCCACAGGGCAAGGAUAACGGGUAACACCCGCCGGGGGCGACCCUAGGAAAAGUGCAACAGAGAUAUACCGCCAUUGCAGUUGAACUGUGCUGGUAAGGGCCAUGCGGCGCUGUGCGCCGCGCGGGGGAUAGUGUGAAAGGGGGCCGGCGAGGCCCGCCUUUCGCGUCCGGUCACCCCGCCGCAGCGGAUGCAAUUCCGAAGGAAUUGCCUUUCCACCCUUACCAUUGCAGUUCAGCUGCAAUGGUAAGGGUGGAAAGGUGAGGUAAGAGCUCACCCGACGGCGUGCCAAGCGUCCGUCGCUGUAAACUCUAUCCGGAGCAACGCCGUGGAGGGACAUAUGGCCGGCCCGGCCGUCCCGGGGAGGCGGCUUGAGCGUACCGGCAACGGUGCGUCGAGAUAGAUGGCUGUCUUAAAGGACAGAACCCGGCUUACAGGCUUACUUG